AUGUUCUGGAUUUUUAUCUUUGGGGUUUUGUAUAUUCCCAAUUUUGUAUGUGCCUUUACUGGUGAUAAGUGCUAUGGAACAAUCAAGGAAUAUACUUACUAUGAAGGAGAUGUGACAAUUGGUGCUUUUUUUCCUCUUCAUAGUUACUACACACAUGACCAUGUUCCCCAUGAAAUUGACCCAUACUUUUUCCAGGAUAUGUUCACACAGUAUAAUUUUAUGAACUACCAGUUACUUCUGGCCCUGGUGUUUACCAUUGAGGAGAUCAACAGAAAUCCUCAUCUUCUACCCAACACAACUCUUGGAUUUGAGCAUCAUAACAUUAAAUUUUCUGAAAAGAAUAUUCUUCUUGGGGGCUGGUGAGAUGGCUCAGUGGGUAAGAGCACCCGACUGCUCUUCCGAAGGUCAGGAGUUCAAGUCCCGGCAACCACAUGGUGGCUCACAACCAUCCGUAACAAGAUCUGACUCCCUCUUCUGGAGUGUAUGAAGACAGCUACAGUGUACUUACAUAUAACCAAUAAAUAAAUCUUUAAAAAAAAAAAAAAAAAAGAAUAUUCUUCUUGGUCCCUUUCUUUGGCUCACAGGGUUGAGCAAUCAACUAAUUAAUUAUAACUGUGGACAGAAGAGAAAUUUACCUGCAGCACUCACUGGAACAUCAUGGGCAAUAUCUGCCCAUAUUGGGACACUGCUACAACUCUACAAAAUACCUCAGCUCAGUUUGGAUAUUUUGAUUCUAACAUGAAUGACCAAAGUCAGUUUAAAACUCUCUAUCAGGUGGCCCCUGAGGACACAUAUCUGUCACUGGCCUUAGUGUCUUUGAUGCUUCAUUUCAGCUGGUCCUGGGUGGGUCUGAUUGUCCCAAAUGACCCCAGAGGGACUCAGAUUCUAUCAGAGUUUAGAGAUGUUAUGGAAAGUAAUAGGAUCUGCUUAGCCUUUGUGAAAAUGAUUCCUGGCACCUGGAAUUCAUAUUCUGAUUCAAUAUGGAAAAAUAUGGAGAAGAUUCAGGAAUCAUCAGCAAAUGUGAUUGUUAUUUAUGGGGACAUUGUUUCUUUACAAGGUUUAAUGCGACACAUUGCACAACUGUUAGUGACAUGGAAAGUCUGGGUCUUGAACUCUCAAUGGGAUAUUGACUACUAUUCUGAUUAUUUUAUGAUAGAAUCCUUUCAUGGGAGUCUCAUUUUUUCACACCAUCAUGAAGAGAUGGUUGAGUUUGUGAAUUUUGUUCAAACAGUGAAUCCCUACACAUACCCUGAAGAUGAUUAUCUUCCUAAGUUUUGGGUUUUUUUCUUCAAGUGCUCUUUUUCUGAGUUUGAUUGCCAACUUUUGGAGAACUGCCAACCCAAUGCAUCUUUGGACUUACUGCUCAGACACAUUUUUGACCCAGCCAUGAGUGAAGAGAGCUACAACCUAUACAAUGCUGUGUAUGCUCUUGCUCACAGCCUCCAUGAGAUGACUGUUCAACAAAUACAGACACAACCAUAUGCCAAUGGAGACGGAAUGGCAUUCUUGCCCUGGCAGAUCCUCCCUUUUCUAAAGAUCACCCUACUUAAAAACCAUCCAAGUGGUCAAACUGUAAUUGAUGAGAGGAAAAACUUAUAUUCAGAAUAUGACAUUUUCAAUUUUUGGAAUUUCCCAACGGGUCUUGGAUUAAAGAUGAAAGUAGGAACCUUUUCUCCAAAUUCUCCCCAGGGUCAACAGUUGUCCUUAUCUGAGGAAAUGAUACAAUGGCCGACACAGUUUACAAAAAUUCCUCAGUCUGUGUGCAGUGAGAGCUGUAGGCCUGGAUUCAGGAAAGCUGCCCAGGAGGGGAAGGCUGUCUGCUGCUUUGAUUGCAUUCCUUGUGCAGACAAUGAGAUUUCCAAUGAGACAGAUAUGGAUCAGUGUGUGCAGUGUCCAGAAAGUCACUAUGCAAACUCAGAGAAGAACCACUGCCUCCAGAAAUCUGUGAGCUUUUUGGCCUAUGAAGAGCCCUUGGGGAUGGGACUCACGAUCACAGCACUGGACUUCUCUGUACUCACAGCUGUGGUUCUUGUAGUCUUUGUGAAGCACAGAGACACACCCAUUGUCAAGGCCAAUAAUCGGGUUCUCAGCUACACCCUGCUAUUGACACUCAUAAUCUGUUUUCUCAGUUGCUUGCUCUACAUUAGACAGCCCAACACAGCCACCUGCAUCUUGCAGCAAACAGCAUUUGGAACUUUGUUCACUGUGGCUCUCUCCACAGUGUUAGCCAAAGCUAUUGUAGUGGUUACUGCAUUCAAGAUCACCUCUCCAGCUAGAAUGGUGAGGUGGUUAAUAGUAUCAGGGGCCCCAAAUUCCAUUAUUCCCAUCUGCACACUGAUCCAACUUAUUAUCUAUGGAAUAUGGCUGGCUACCUCUCCACCUUUUAUUGAUCAAAAUGCUCAUGUUGAACAUGGUCACAUCAUCAUUAUGUGCAACAAGGGUUCUGCAGUUGCUUUCCACUGUGUACUGGGAUACCUUUGCUUCUUAGCACUUGGGAGCUACAGUAUGGCUUUCUUAUCCAGGAAUCUGCCUGACACAUUCAACGAAGCCAAGUACCUGUCAUUCAGCAUGCAGGUAUUCUUCUGUGUUUGGAUCACUUUUCUCCCUGUCUAUCACAGCACAAAGGGAAAGGUCAUGGUGGCUAUGGAAGUCUUCUCUGUCUUGGCUUCCAGUAUAGCACUCCUUGCUUUGAUAUUUGCCCCCAAGUGCUACAUAAUUUUGUUAAGGCCAGAUAAGAACUCACGUCUUGACAUCAGGCACAAAAUACAUUCAAGAAGAGUAGUCAUUUAA
Mus musculus (house mouse) is the source of this 2790-nucleotide RNA transcript. It is a transcript of the gene named vomeronasal 2, receptor, pseudogene 158, with no coding region annotated. The record is from RefSeq and is marked validated. NCBI's taxonomy places the organism in Eukaryota, Metazoa, Chordata, Mammalia, Rodentia, Muridae. The transcript has 6 exons.